CCUACGGGAGGCAGCAGUAGGGAAUAUUGCUCAAUGGGGGAAACCCUGAACCAGCAACGCCGCGUGGAGGAUGAAGGUUUUCGGAUUGUAAACUCCUUUUGUUAGAGAAGAUAAUUACGGUAUCUAACGCAUAAGCACCGGCUAACUCCGUGCCAGCAGCCGGGGUAAAACGGAGGGUGCAAGCGUUACUCGGAAUCACUGGGCGUAAAGAGCGCGUAGGCGGGAUAGAAAGUAAGAGGUGAAAUCCUAUGGCUUAACCAUAGAACUGCAGUUGAAACUGUUAUUCUAGAGUAUGGGAGAGGUAGGUGGAAUUCUGGGUGUAGGGGUAAAAUGCGUAGAGAUCAAGAAGAAUACUCAUUGCGAAGGCGACCUGCUAGACCACAACUGACGCUGAUGCGCGAAAGCGUGGGGAGCAAACAGGAUUAGAUACCCGGGUAGUC
This 440-nucleotide ribosomal RNA is filed under the name uncultured bacterium. RNAcentral describes it as "partial 16S ribosomal RNA". It matches the Rfam family "Bacterial small subunit ribosomal RNA", at positions 338 to 795 of the family's 1533-position model. The record is from RNAcentral.